GUCAGCGGUUUAGAAAGACUGAUUUACGGCGUACGUGAUUCAUAGCGUUGAGGGACAACGUCGGGGGUAAAGGAUUUACAUAGACAAGACUAGCGCGGGAGACAAUUCUACGAAACAUGGAGGAAACAGGUCCAAUAAAAGAGAACUGAGAUCGAGACGGGCAACGCUUGCCGUGGCGUGUCCGAGAAACUGGCUAGCCUUUCUGGUGCCAUGGAUUUCCCUCCAUCCCAUCAUUUGCCAAGGAGAGGAUGAAAUAUGACAGACGAGGCGUAAUAAUAUGAUGAGAUCUUGCUUCGGCUGUGGUCUGCCAGAAUGUAAACGAGACCCUUUGACCACAAAACCGUGGCCGGAGGGCCGAAGACGAGAUGAGUAAUGACCACUGGCCUGCAGAGAGUAGACUGGCCACUGGACGGCCUUUUGAACGGUUGGACUGACAAAGCAACAUCGAUGUCUGGCUUGCCUUGCAAAAGAUACUGUGAACAGUCAGUGCUAAAUUACGAAGAGACAAGUAAAUUGAAUAGCCAGAACUCGCUAGACCAACUUGGCAAUUCAUUUACUGACCUGUCGUUGUAUAUAAGAAAAUAAUAUACUAGUAGCUACGUAUACUGACAGUACUAGUUUCCUGUAUUUGUCGGAAAUGACGUUUGGAGAUCAAACGUUUUCUUACUACAUAUUUUAUUACGACAAUGCUGAUUCAAGACCAAAUCGAUUACAACAAUACAUACACCAACAUAUAUUGAUCAAACAGAUGGUCGCGUGACGUAAUGUCGGUAUGUUUAUAGUGUUAGAUGUAGAGGAGCGAGUAGGGGUUUAAGGAGCAUAGCAACGAGGGCAUGUCUAUUCGUCUCCAAAGAAUGUAAGAGUUAUGAAUAGGUUUGUGAGAUGAAACGCAUGUGUAUACAUGUACAUGCAAUGAAACGGGUUUCUUUAGGAAUAUAUAUGGUGAAAUGUGAAGAGAGGACACGUGAAGACAUAUUAUCAUCAUAACUGACUUGACAAAAUGAGACGGUAGCGGUUCAUUCAGACACACAUCGAUGCAGACCUUACCAUAUAUAUAUAUAUAUAUACCUAACAAUAAUCUGCUACACAAAACCAAAUGUGUACGAAUUAAACUCUUUGUCAUCAAACAUCACGUCAUUGUCACAGGAACAGAUAUUUUUAUAGAGAGGGGUCAUCUUUCCAGGAAUAGAUUCUAGUUAUGUUGCAGUUAAUUCGGGAAACGGAUUAAAUGCACAUAUAUACAUAUCCUUCUCACUGUGGUGAGGACCAAAUUAUUGGCGUUUUCUUGAACGGAUCAUUAAGUUGGGAAUGGAUUUGAAAGUGUAUAUUGACUAUCGUUUUAUUCCAAACUGACAUGGCCCCCGUUCCAGAAAGCUAUCUUAGCGCUACGGCUGUACGUCUGUGUUAAACUAUGGGAACACACCUCAGAUCUCAGAAAAAAAAGAUUAAAAUGUGCAAAUUAUAUCGAACUUGAUGUAAUUAUACACGUAUACCUGCCACAGCGCACGUAACAAAGAUUCCUCGUGUAUAUAAUUUCCAGUUGAAAUAUUCAUUUGUUCAAAUAUGAACCAUAAAUAAGAUAUACAACUGUGUUACGCAAUUCACAAACACUACAAAGGAGGUUUCUCACAGCUGGUUAUAUAUCAAAGUACAUUACAAAAUGAAUUGUAGAAAUUAUAAUACUUAUAACAAAAAAUAUCAAUUUGUGAACGUAUAUAAAAGCAAAUAGAGAAAUUACUGAAUCGUCAAUUUCAAAAUCCAAUACAAAAGCCUCAAAGAAAACUGUAAUUUCACAUAUUUCAGUUUAAGUUAACAAUUCUACAUACAACUGUCAUAUCCAACAAAACUGGUAUUGUUGUCAACCAUGACACGUAAUAAAUCUUGAAUUGAUUUACAAAUUGUGGAACGGCUGUCCCGCGGAACAAAGCCAUUCCUAUGGGCAUAAAGAUAAUAGGCUUGGAUAGUGAACUAAGUCAUAAACUUGACCCAACUGGGAAGCAGAGGGAAGUCGAUUUUAUGAACCAAGGCUUCUGAAUUUUCUACAAGCUAAUAAAGGUCAGGGAAUACCAAGUAAGGAGUCAAGGUGAGACCUGGUGGGAACCAAGCAUUUCCAACAUGGAAAUGGUUUAAAGAAUCGUUAAAAUCAAUCACAUAUGAACUGCCGAAGCAGGCAAAAUAUUGGUCCGCCCCCAGUAGCAGAUGUAGAUGUUUUCAGGUAUGGGUUUAUUGUUGCAGUAUAUUUCUCUUUUACGGGGGUCUAUUCCACGGGACAUUUGCGGUCAUUCCACGCGACGUUUUGAUACACUUUAAAGUCAGCUUUAUGAGAAGUACAGCCAAUAAAAGUAAUUGUCUCAGUGGAGAGAAACUUUGAGAAGCAUAGCUGGAAGUAGCAAACUCACAGUUAUUCAAAUCGGCGUCGAUUAUAUUGAUAUAAUUUACAUGAUUAUACACAGGGUGUACAUGAAAAGAACAUUAUGUUUGUAAUACUUUUUGUAGGUGUUCUUAUAGACUAACAUAUAGUCUCUGAAAUGAACAUAUCGUACAGAAAAAAACAGUUGUUCAGUUAUCUUAAUAAAAAUAUAGUAAAAGGGAGCCCAGUGACUCUUCAUUUUCAGAUACUGCAGUAAUCUAGACUUGCCAAACAUUAUAGACUUGCAUGGGCUGUAGUUGAUAUAAAUGUAUCAGGGUCUGUAAGACAGACUAGUGUUCUUAAUGCAAGUUAACAUAUUUCACAAAUCAAACUCAUUACAAUGUUCAAUACUUAAACAUCUCUAUAAUAAAUGUAUAUAAAAAUUACGAUGUGAUACAAAGAUAUAUAAUUAGAUAAUUCUUCUUUUACAGGCUGUUUACGAAGCUAAUUAAUGUUUGGAAACGUUAUGUAAUUGUUAUAAUAUCUUUAUGAGAUCUCCGUUUACACCAUUACAGAUGUUGCAUGUGCACAUACGAGGUGUGAUUUCUUUACUCAAUGUGACAAAUUGUGGGGUUGAAUCAUCACUCGGUGUGUAGUUUAAUUCGACGCAAAGCAUGUUGUUAUAAUUUCAGCAAAAAUAAUUAUUGUAUUAUGUGACAAAUAUUGAUUUUUGUGCCAUGUGACAACGCGGUUAUGAGAGUUAUCAGAUUUUGAAAUAUAUUAUGAUAGUUUGAUAAUACUCCGAGCUGGUACAUUGCGGGGUCAUAGAUGUUAUCAUGAAUAAACAGUUACUGCACAUGCGCAGGCCACACA
Molecule: long non-coding RNA, 3223 nt
Organism: Haliotis rufescens (red abalone)
Lineage: Eukaryota; Metazoa; Mollusca; Gastropoda; Lepetellida; Haliotidae
Exons: 2
Source: RefSeq, a predicted model, not a curated record